CUUCCAUUUGAGAUCAUCGAACUCAUUAGAUCCAAUUGCUCUAGUCAAUGAGUUGGUUAGGUUCUCCUUUCAGUCGAUUUUCUUAAAGUUGACUUUAUUUCGAUCUUAUUGAACAAGGUGAUUGCAAUAUAAAAAGUGUUUGAUUCACAGAUGGAACAUCAAUUCUUCAUUUUGAGCUAUGGCUCCAGUACUGCUAUCAAUAUAAAAAGACUAGACCAUCAAUGGAGGAUGUCACCCC
This 238-nucleotide long non-coding RNA is filed under the name Elaeis guineensis (African oil palm). RNAcentral's name for it is "long non-coding RNA (EGUI_LNC071855)". The record is from RNAcentral. Lineage: Eukaryota; Viridiplantae; Streptophyta; Magnoliopsida; Arecales; Arecaceae.